This 495-nucleotide ribosomal RNA is filed under the name uncultured bacterium. RNAcentral's name for it is "partial 16S ribosomal RNA". It matches the Rfam family "Bacterial small subunit ribosomal RNA", at positions 29 to 506 of the family's 1533-position model. The record is from RNAcentral.
AUGAACGCUGGCGGCGUGCCUAAUACAUGCAAGUCGCGCGAACGGACGAGAAGCUUGCUUUUCUGAUGUUAGCGGCGGACGGGUGAGUAACACGUGGAUAACCUACCUAUAAGACUGGGAUAACUUCGGGAAACCGGAGCUAAUACCGGAUAAUAUUUUGAACCGCAUGGUUCAAAAGUGAAAGACGGUCUUGCUGUCACUUAUAGAUGGAUCCGCGCUGCAUUAGCUAGUUGGUAAGGUAACGGCUUACCAAGGCAACGAUGCAUAGCCGACCUGAGAGGGUGAUCGGCCACACUGGAACUGAGACACGGUCCAGACUCCUACGGGAGGCAGCAGUAGGGAAUCUUCCGCAAUGGGCGAAAGCCUGACGGAGCAACGCCGCGUGAGUGAUGAAGGUCUUCGGAUCGUAAAACUCUGUUAUUAGGGAAGAACAUAUGUGUAAGUAACUGUGCACAUCUUGACGGUACCUAAUCAGAAAGCCACGGCUAACUACGU